This is a long non-coding RNA of Rhinolophus ferrumequinum (greater horseshoe bat), 1090 nucleotides long. RefSeq lists it as uncharacterized. NCBI's taxonomy places the organism in Eukaryota, Metazoa, Chordata, Mammalia, Chiroptera, Rhinolophidae. The record is from RefSeq and is a predicted model, not a curated record. The transcript is spliced from 2 exons.
CUUGGGGCGAUGAGCCCCAGGGAGCAGGCGAAUCUCAAUCCUCCCCUCGCCAAGGGCGUCCCAAACCAGCCUUCCCCUCCCUCCCUACACACCCACUCACCCUCCCCCAGUUACAACAGGGAAUCGAAAAGUCCAGAGGAGAAAAGAGAACCGGGGUAGUUCGAAACUCAAAUUCUCCUCCCCCCAGCGCGGGGAUAAGGGCUCCCGGAGGUCGGAGAUCGCACAGGGGCAGGGAAGGGAUGAUAUUACUCAACUCCUGGGGUUAUUUUGAAGAUUAUAAUGCAAGCAAGAUACCAGAUUUAGUGGGUAAGUAAAUGUGAGCUAUUAUGAUUGUUAAUACAACAUAACAGUAAUGCACACACAUUAAGCAAGAUUACUACACCCUGAGCCUUGACCCAGUCUCCCUCUCCAUCAUCCUCCCUUGGGCUCUUCACUGAUAACUAAGUGCAUUGCUUGGUGGCUUCCAAUACAGUUUCAUUCUUCACUCUGCUGGAACUUUGACCCGAAGGUGAUCCAUAAGAUGUAUGAAAUUGUUUUCACCAGGUAAGAAUGAUGUUUAAAUGGCCCUUUGUUUGAGGAAUGACUCAGAGUUCCUCUUUUUCAGGCAUCUUUCUUCAAAGGAUUAAGGCUUUAGGUAGGAUGGGCAUGGUAACAAACCCCAUACUCUAUUCUGAAUGCUUGUACAGGUACACCUGAUGCACUCUCUCACUUACUGAUAAGGAAGAAGGGGAUCCAGACAUUUUUCUUUGAGAAAUCAGUAACAGAUAUAAAGGGGUGGGGAGCUGGUUACCUGGGAGCUCCUUGUUCAUUUGCAUCAGGAACUGCUUCUUUUCCCUCUUCUCCCUUCUAGAAGACUGUUAAGGAGGAGCCUGAAGGAGGAAGGUGGAUCUACCAUGGUCUUGGAGAAAAGCAAGUAGGUUCUCCACCCCUUCUGGAGGGACAAGGAAUAGCACAGAUCAACAAAAAUGAGAAGGAAGCAAUUGGAAAUAGAGAAAAUGAAGGUAAGUACUCUAUUAUGCUAAAAGAAAAAUGGAAGUGAAAAGAGAGGGACAAGAGAAAAGCAGAGCUUAGGAAUAGGGUAAGAGGGGGG